UACGUAGGAUGCGAGCGUUGUCCGGAAUUAUUGGGCGUAAAGAGAACGUAGGCGGUUUCUUAAGUUUGGUCUUAAAGACCGGGGCUCAACCCCGGGAAUGGAUCGAAAACUGGGAGACUGGAGGAUGUCAGAGGAAAGUGGAAUUCCGAGUGUAGCGGUGAAAUGCGUAGAUAUUCGGAGGAACACCAGUGGCGAAAGCGACUUUCUGGGGCAUUCCUGACGCUGAGGUUCGAAAGCUCGGGGAGCAAACAGG
This 253-nucleotide ribosomal RNA is filed under the name uncultured bacterium. RNAcentral's name for it is "partial 16S ribosomal RNA". It matches the Rfam family "Bacterial small subunit ribosomal RNA", at positions 524 to 776 of the family's 1533-position model. The record is from RNAcentral.